RNAcentral lists this long non-coding RNA (2027 nucleotides) under Paramuricea clavata. Lineage: Eukaryota; Metazoa; Cnidaria; Anthozoa; Malacalcyonacea; Plexauridae. The record is from RNAcentral.
UCCAAUAACCGGUGAAUUAUUCAUACUUUGACACUUAUAUACUAUAUAUAUAUAUAACAAAACACUUAUUUACUGAGACCUCGGGAAAGCAGUGUGUUUUGUGGCCCCUCGACCGCCGUUGUUGCCCUCGGCUUCGCCUCGGGCAACAACGGCGGUCUCGGGUCCACAAAACACACUGUUCCCCUCGGUCUCAGUAAAUAAGUGAUAAUUGUCUGCAACUUUGAGAAGGUACAGAUAACGCCUUCUAAAAUCCUCAGUUCUAACGAUAUCUUUGUAAAAUCACAAGGAAGUUAAUGCUAAGCCUUUUGGCUAUGUUAUUGGCCUGAAAAAGAACUAUUUUAACGCGAUCAAGGUAUUUAAAACAAAAGUAAUACGAAGCCAACAUAACGGCAAAGACAACGCUAAAAUGAAAUAUUGCCGAUUGGUUGCUGGUAGAAGACUUACGACAGGAUCAAUCUUAAAUAGAGAAUAAAUGUUCACAUAGAAUAAAUGUUCACAUCAAAGACAAAGAUCAGUCCCAAAGUAUAAAAUCUGCUCUGUAAACUUACGACAAAGUGGAGAAAUGUGUGCAUAAGCUGUUUAUUUGGUGAUUUUAAAAUAUGGCAGCCCUCUUUCCAAUAAUAUGCUCUUAUCGCGCAGAAUAACACCAACUGAUAUAAUUUAUUAUAAUAGUCCAAAUGGAAUGGUAAGUUACCUCUUGAAUUACAUCUCAGAAACUGUGUUGGAAAUGUAAAUGCUGACCCAUUCCAUAAGAUUACCGUUUUACACCGUUGUAUAAAACAUUUUUGUAAAAUUUAUGCAGGGACCAUUUUAUGUAACGAUAUCUUUAGUUGGUUUAUAUCCUAGCUAACAGACAGAACUUGCUAUAGUCUAUAUUUUGUAAUAGGCAAUUCCAGCUUUUAGUUUAUGUGUGCAGGGGGGGGGGGGAUGAGAAGUAAGGUAUCAUAUUGCUGAUCAUGCUGAAAAAAUAAAAAUGGUGGCCGUGUAAACACGGAGUGAUGGCUUAUACUUGUAAAUAUUAAAAUUUUAUAUUUCGGUUAUUUCGGCAAUUUUUCAGCAUAAUCAGCAAUAUGAUACCUUACUUCCCAUCACCCCCUGCGCGCAUAAAUUAAAAGCUGGAAUUACCUAUUGUGGACAGACAUUUUUUAAUCCAUGAAACAGUACUGUGAGCUUACCGUUAAUUUCAAAUAUUUUACUCAUAUACAGUGUAUCCUCAUUCAAACUCUUGUAUACAAGAAGUUAAAUAUUUGUACUCACUUCAUCCAAUCAUAAUUCAGUUGUAAUACCUACAGUAUUAAAGCUAAAGAUUCACCGUGUGGGACGUCUGAGGGGAAACUUGUAUGAAAUCAUACAUAGACAUAGUGUUGCUGAAACAUUGCUUCUUCGUCUUGUUACCCAAGAGCAAAGUGAGAAAACAUGUCAGAAACAUUUGCCUGUAGAGUACAGAUUUCUGAGUAGAUUGGGCUAUUUGUUAUUGACAGCAAACAUACUAGAUGUUGGCCUGGGGUCCGACUAAAUACUGCCCAGAGCGCCCGGAAACGCCCAAGAUAGUAUUUACCAGAUUCGCAGGUCAAGACAUCAGUUUUAACAGUCAAUGAAAUAGCCUAAACAUUUAUAAUGGUAGUAACAAGCAGAAACAUACUACGAAAGUUAUCGAAAGAUAAACGUUGCUCCUGGGGCUGGACAGCUAGCAAACGAUGAUGUCGUGACCAGCGAAUCCGGUACAGUGUAAACGGGGUCAGUGUAAAUAGUGUAUGAUCCUUUCUGAGUCUUUAUGAGUAUGAGACAUUGUAUUAAUGAAAAAUAAUAUUAAAAGUGUUUUUCAACCAGCCUACAUAGCAACAAGCGGUGAAGCACAGCCGCCCACGCAGGAAGCUGUGCGAAACAUGAGAUUAUAAUUACUAUAAAUGUAAAUAUUUGCUGCUAUUAAACUAAAAAAACAUGAUUUGCAUGACCAUUUUGCAUGUAAAAGUCAAAAACAAAAAGUUCAUAAACUAAAGAGAGAAAUGACUAUAAUUACAAAACUA